This 253-nucleotide ribosomal RNA is filed under the name uncultured bacterium. RNAcentral's name for it is "partial 16S ribosomal RNA". It matches the Rfam family "Bacterial small subunit ribosomal RNA", at positions 524 to 776 of the family's 1533-position model. The record is from RNAcentral.
UACAGAGGGGGCAAGCGUUGUUCGGAAUUACUGGGCGUAAAGGGCGCGUAGGCGGCCCGCUAAGUCGAACGUGAAAUCCCCGGGCUCAACCCGGGAACUGCGUCCGAUACUGGUGGGCUUGAAUCCGGGAGAGGGAUGCGGAAUUCCAGGUGUAGCGGUGAAAUGCGUAGAUAUUGGGAGGAACACCAGUGGCGAAGGCGGCUCACUGGACCGGAACUGACGCUGAGGCGCGAAAGCGUGGGGAGCAAACAGG